This 3268-nucleotide unclassified non-coding RNA is filed under the name Hevea brasiliensis (rubber tree). Lineage: Eukaryota; Viridiplantae; Streptophyta; Magnoliopsida; Malpighiales; Euphorbiaceae. The record is from RNAcentral.
UUAAAUAUAUAAAUUUCAGCUUGUAUUUUUAAAAAAUAAAAUUUAGGAGGGGAAGGAGGUGGGACCCAGAUGGCAGGGAUAGGUGGUAACAAGGUGCAGUAUUACCUGCAUCCGUGUUACACGCGCCUAAGAAGCUGCGAAGAGACAAAAGAAAACAUUCUCGAGAAAAAAACAAAGUGAGAACUCAAAACCCAAAAAUGUUUUGUUUUUCUUAAGAAAAGAGAGGAAAAUUUAAGUUAAGAAAAGAAAAAUUGGAGCUCGAGACAAAUGAACAGUGCUUUAGUUCUUGAGGUUCUUCCGUUUCACUGGAAAAAAUCUGUAAGGAUUCUUCUGUCAUGCUCUCUAAAACUAACCUUUCCAGGCUGAAUUUCCUCGAAAAGCUUGAAAAUUUAAUUUGUGUGUACCACGCGCUAUGGUCCUCUUCGCCUCUUUCCGGUUGACCCCUCGAUUAAAGAAGUAAGAAUCCAUGGGCUUUAUUACAAGGCAGGUUAACGUUAAGAAUGUUAUGGGUCCCACUAUAUCCGCUCUGGUUGAAGGACGAACCAUUGGUGCGUAUAUAACACAUUCUCUAUGUAACAGUAUAGCUACAAGGUUUCUCCUAUCACCAACUCAUAUCUUCCUUCUCGUAAACUGUCUUGCACGGAUCAACUUGUUCUCUGCUACACUUCUGCACUCUCUUCUGAUUCACUGCUCAACUUUUUUUUUUUCAGCUUCUCUUGAGCCUCCCAAUUUGUCUCCAUUGCGCUUCUCUUCUUCUUUAUUUUUCCUUUAUCUGGUCACUUCAUCAUCUUCUUUUGUCUCCCUGUUCAAGGAAACAGCUUCAGCCAUGGACGCGACAGCAGGCAAAGAGAAGCUGGUAGUGGAGGUGGUGGCAGCCCACAACUUAAUACCCAAAGAUGGAGAAGGUUCGUCUUCCCCAUUUGUAGAGAUAGAGUUUGAGAACCAAAGACUCAGAACCCAAGUUAAGUACAAAGACUUGAACCCCAUUUGGAAUGAAAAGCUCGUCUUUAAUGUGAAGGACGUUGCAGAUCUUCCUUACAGAACCAUAGAGGUCAAUGUCUUUAAUGAAAAAAGAUCCAGCAAUAGUAGAAACUUUCUAGGUAAAGUUCGAAUUUCUGGUUCAAGCAUUGCUAAAGAAGGCGAAAAAAUGGUGCAGUUGCAUACUCUGGAGAAAAGAAGUUUGUUUUCUCAUGUGAGGGGGGAGAUAAGUUUGAAGCUUUAUGUAUCUGUAAGAGAAGAGGUUAAAGAAGUUGUGGACUUGGGUAAUGGAGCUGUAGUCUCUGGCUCUUCUGGUCCCCGGCCUGCUUCUUCAAAGAAGAGCAAGAAGCUGCAGCAGCAGAGUCCGGCUAUAGUGCAGCAACAGCAGCAGUUGACACAAGAAACUAACAAGCAAACGCAACAGCAAGGCCAAAACAAUGCAAAGCCUGUGGAGCCAAACUCAGGUGAGAUCAAACAUAUUGUUAUCACAACUGGUCCUACUCCUGUUGCUCCUGGGUCUGGUGGCGGCCGGGUUAUCACUACACCGGGUGGCGUUGUUAGCGGCGGCGGCGGUGGGGUCAGUCUGUAUACAAAUAUGUCUAGCGAGUUCUCUCUUAAAGAGACAAGUCCGCACCUUGGUGGUGGUCUUUUAAACAAAGACAAGUCUAGUGCAACUUAUGAUCUUGUAGAGCAAAUGCAGUAUCUUUAUGUUAAAGUUGUAAAGGCUAAAGAUAUUACAUUGUUUGGUGGCGGUGAAAUUGUGGGUGAGGUGAAGAUAGGGAACUACAGAGGGAUCACAAAAAGGGUGGGUUCAAGCAAUAUGGAAUGGGACCAAGUUUUUGCAUUUUCUAAAGAUUGCAUGCAGUCGUCAAUGGUGGAGAUUUUUGUCAAAGAAGGUAACAAAGAUGAUUACUUGGGCCGUGUUUCGUUUGAUUUGAGUGAGAUUCCAAGAAGAGUACCACCGGAUAGCCAAUUAGCCCCACAAUGGUAUAGAAUGGAGGACAAGAAAGGGAAUAAAGCUAAAGGUGGUGAAGUGAUGGUUUCAAUAUGGUUUGGGACUCAAGUUGACGAGGCUUUUGCUGAGGCUUGGCAUUCGAAGGCAGCAAAUGUGCAUUUUGAUGGGCUUUGCUCUACCAAAUCCAAGGUUUAUCUAUCACCAAAGCUGUGGUAUUUAAGGGUAUCUGUUAUUGAAGCACAAGAUAUUGUUCCUUGGGACAAUGGGUCUCCAAUGAUGAGGUUCCCGGAGCUUUUCAUCAAAGUCCUGGUGGGAAACCAGAUUUUGAGGACUAAAAUUGCGGGGCCCAACCCCAACAGGAGCAUGUCCAGUCCUUAUUGGAAUGAAGAUUUGUUGUUUGUAGUUGCAGACCCAUUUGAGGAAUACUUGGUGAUUUCUGUUGAGGACCGUGUUGGAGCUGGAAGAGAGGAAACAGUGGGCAGAGUUUUGCUUCCAAUAACCGCAGUUGAGAAGCGUAACGACGAAAAGCAAGUCGAUUCUAGGUGGUUCAAUCUUGAUAAUCAUCUUGGUAGUGCAGUUGAUUCAAAAAUUAUGACAAGAUUUGGGUCUAAAAUUCACCUCAGGGUGUCUCUUGAUGGGGGUUACCAUGUGCUUGAUGAGGCUACAAUGUAUAGCAGUGAUGUUAAAGCGACUGCAAAACAGUUAUGGAAGCCUCACAUCGGUGUGCUUGAGAUGGGAAUUUUGGGAGCAUCAGGACUUGUGCCAACAAAACUCAAGGAAGGAAAAGGAGAGUCUGCAAAUGCUUACUGUGUAACAAAGUAUGGUCAGAAAUGGGUGAGAACUCGCACGGUUGUAGAUAGCUUAUCGCCAAAAUGGAAUGAGCAGUACACGUGGGAAGUGUUUGAUCCUUGCACAGUCAUCACAAUUGGGGUAUUUGAUAAUUGCCAUGCCGAAAAGAAUGCAGUUAACAAUGCCUGUGAUUCUCGAAUCGGAAAAGUUAGAAUUCGGCUAUCAACUCUCGAAUCAGACAGGGUUUAUACUCACUCUUAUCCGCUCCUAAUGCUGCAUCCUACCGGAGUCAAAAAGAUGGGCGAGCUUCAUUUAGCAGUAAGGUUUUCUUGUGUUAAUAUGGCGAACAUGUUGCACAUGUACACACUGCCACUGUUACCAAAGAUGCACUAUGUGCAACCAUUGAGUGUGAAUCAAUUGGAGGCCUUGAGGUAUCAGGCAAUGAAUGUGGUGGCAUCAAGGCUAAGCCGAGCAGAGCCACCACUGGGGCGAGAAGUGGUGGAGUAUAUGCUUGAUCAUGACUCUCAUAUGUGGAGCAUGAGAAGA